This 254-nucleotide ribosomal RNA is filed under the name uncultured bacterium. RNAcentral describes it as "partial 16S ribosomal RNA". It matches the Rfam family "Bacterial small subunit ribosomal RNA", at positions 524 to 776 of the family's 1533-position model. The record is from RNAcentral.
UACGUAGGUGGCAAGCGUUUGUCCGGAAUUAUUGGGCGUAAAGCGCGCGCAGGCGGCCUCUUAAGUCUGAUGUGAAAGCCCCCGGCUCAACCGGGGAGGGCCAUUGGAAACUGGGAGGCUUGAGUAUAGGAGAGAAGAGUGGAAUUCCACGUGUAGCGGUGAAAUGCGUAGAGAUGUGGAGGAACACCGAUGGCGAAGGCAGCCCCCUGGGCUGAGAUUGACGCUCAGGCACGAAAGCGUGGGGAGCAAACAGG